Molecule: transfer RNA, 74 nt
Filed under: Candidatus Karelsulcia muelleri
Lineage: Bacteria; Pseudomonadati; Bacteroidota; Flavobacteriia; Flavobacteriales
Description: tRNA-Asp
Rfam family: tRNA
About the family: Transfer RNA (tRNA) molecules are approximately 80 nucleotides in length. Their secondary structure includes four short double-helical elements and three loops (D, anti-codon, and T loops).
Source: RNAcentral
GGUCUGGUAGUUCAGUAGGUUAGAAUAUGUGCUUGUCAAGCAUGAGGUGACGGGUUCGAAACCCGUUCAGACCG